GUUGAAGCCCUCGUACGUUUGAACCUCAAGAUAUAUUUCAGAAUUACUGUGAUUUACCAAAAAGCCUACUUAUUAAAAAUUAAGUAGAAGAUCCACGAUCUGCACCGAUACACAGAGGAAGUUAUUUCAACAACUUACAACAAAAAGUCAAAAAGGGAAUCGCUCUCUUGCUGCGAUUCAUGAGUGAAAAUUCAAGAAAGUACUAUUAAAGUCAACGAUCACUCUCGAGAUACGAGGUGACUACCAUUCUUUAUCGACUUGAAGCUAGCCAGAUGACGAGUUGAUGUAGACCCUUAAAUGAUUAUACUCGGGUUGAACUUAUAAUCAUCUUUAAGGACUCUCCACAUCGACGCUACUCGCGCAGUCAAAGAGCUCCUGAUUUCCUGCUUCAAAUAAUUGUAUGUAACUACUUUUAAUUUAUCUCUCUCUCUGUCUGAUUAAGAGAAAGCCUGUGCC
Molecule: long non-coding RNA, 456 nt
Organism: Pectinophora gossypiella (pink bollworm)
Lineage: Eukaryota; Metazoa; Arthropoda; Insecta; Lepidoptera; Gelechiidae
Exons: 5
Source: RefSeq, a predicted model, not a curated record